RNAcentral lists this non-coding RNA (253 nucleotides) under uncultured bacterium. RNAcentral's name for it is "partial 16S ribosomal RNA". It matches the Rfam family "Bacterial small subunit ribosomal RNA", at positions 524 to 776 of the family's 1533-position model. RNAcentral also lists the same sequence under 3 other names. The record is from RNAcentral.
UACGUAGGGUACGAGCGUUGUCCGGAAUUAUUGGGCGUAAAGAGCUCGUAGGUGGUUGGUCACGUCUGCUGUGGAAACGCAACGCUUAACGUUGCGCGUGCAGUGGGUACGGGCUGACUAGAGUGCAGUAGGGGAGUCUGGAAUUCCUGGUGUAGCGGUGAAAUGCGCAGAUAUCAGGAGGAACACCGGUGGCGAAGGCGGGACUCUGGGCUGUAACUGACACUGAGGAGCGAAAGCAUGGGGAGCGAACAGG